RNAcentral lists this ribosomal RNA (220 nucleotides) under Lepidochelys olivacea (Pacific ridley). RNAcentral's name for it is "partial 16S ribosomal RNA". Lineage: Eukaryota; Metazoa; Chordata; Testudines; Cheloniidae. The record is from RNAcentral.
AACUUUACAAAUACGAUGAGAGCUAUCUGAGCGACCCUGUUCUUUGCCGCCCCCUCCUCCCCAUCCGAACGUAGGUAGCUCACUCACUUGUUCCUUAAAUAACUAACCUGAACGAAUGGCCCCAGGUUAGUCCGUCUCCUUCUUCUUUUCAACCAAACUAAUCUCCCCGCCCAGAAACAAGGAUAAAUAUAACAGACAAAAAAACCCUACCUAGAGAGAA